UAUUCUGAUGAACAAUUGAACGUUUAUAUACGCUGGAAAUUACCGACCAAGCCCUUCGGGGUGGUGCCGAUAUCAAAUGGCUAUUUCUGAGU
Aureobasidium pullulans is the source of this 92-nucleotide small nucleolar RNA. It matches the Rfam family "A. fumigatus snoRNA Afu_300". The record is from Rfam. NCBI's taxonomy places the organism in Eukaryota, Fungi, Ascomycota, Dothideomycetes, Dothideales, Saccotheciaceae.